This 771-nucleotide ribosomal RNA is filed under the name uncultured Neocallimastigales. Its description in RNAcentral is "partial large subunit ribosomal RNA". It matches the Rfam family "Eukaryotic large subunit ribosomal RNA", at positions 24 to 635 of the family's 3401-position model. The record is from RNAcentral. Lineage: Eukaryota; Fungi; Neocallimastigomycota; Neocallimastigomycetes; Neocallimastigales.
GUAGUCUCGCACAGAUGCAUAUCAAUAAGCGGAGGAAAAGAAACUAACAAGGAUUCCCUUAGUAACGGCGAGUGAAGCGGGAAGAGCUCAAAUUUGAAAUCUUCAAGGUUUUACCUUGACGAAUUGUAGUUUAAAGAAGUGUUUUCUGUUGAAGUUUUGGUAAAAGUUCUUUGGAAUAGGACAUCAUAGGGGGUGAGAAUCCCGUAUUUGACCAUUAUUUUCAGCUGUGUGGUACACUUUCAAAGAGUCGGAUUGUUUGGGAAUGCAGUCCAAAAUGGGUGGUAAAUUUCAUCUAAAGCUAAAUAUUGGCGAGAGACCGAUAGCGAACAAGUACCGUGAGGGAAAGAUGAAAAGAACUUUGAAAAGAGAGUUAAAUAGUACGUGAAAUUGUCAAAAGGGAAGCGUUUAACACCAGUGUUGUUUUCUGAAAAUCAACCUCUGUUAGCUUUAUGCAUGUUUGUUUAGACCUAAUCAGCUAUCUUGCAUGUUCUAUUGUUUGCAGUGGUGCACUUUUCAGUUUACAGGUCAACAUCGGUUUUUUUUACCGUAAAAAAGUUAAAGAAAGGUAGCUCAUGGCUCCGGUCGUGAGUGUUAUAGUCUUUUUCCUAUGCGGUAGGAGAGACUGAGGUCUGCAGUGUAGGCUAUUUGGCUAGAUACUCAGGUGCUAUGUGAUACCAUUUCAUAAACAACUUGUUGAUUAUGUUUUGUCUAUUGCAUACUCGCUUGUACUAUCAUACCUACGCUUAGGAUGUUGAAGAUGUAGCACAUCAU